This is a long non-coding RNA of Acromyrmex echinatior (Panamanian leafcutter ant), 2481 nucleotides long. The record is from RefSeq and is a predicted model, not a curated record. NCBI's taxonomy places the organism in Eukaryota, Metazoa, Arthropoda, Insecta, Hymenoptera, Formicidae.
UCAGAGAGUUCUAUUAGCAUAUCUUAAAACAUUACUUAAGAUAUGCUAAUAUAAAAUAUGAAUAGAGCAUAAUGUAAUCCAUAGAGCUAUUCUAUAAAAAUAGAACCAUCUAUAUAAAAAUUAAUAAUAGUUUUAUCGGUUUGCCUUUAUUUGUCGGUAAUGUUAUUCAUUACUCACAAGUAAACUUACUCAUAAGUAAACUUAGUUACCAAGUAUUAUACUCCGAUUUUGAUGAAUUUUUAGUAUGUUGUUCUCCAGACAAAAAUAAGCGACAUAUUUUUUUAUAUGUGCCCAUAUGCACUUUUAAGGAGUGAAACACUUCUUUGAAAAAAAACUAUUAAAAUCCUGAUUUAAUAAAAAUUCUGAUGAACCUAUAUGGAUUAAGUCCUCCCUGCAAAAUCCGAUUCCUUGCAAAAUUAAUCUUUGAAAUUAUUAUAAUAUUAAUAUUAUUAUACAUAAUAAAAGUGAAUAAAGCUUUCAUUAUGCCAGUAUUUAAGUCUGCUAAAAUAUUACUAUAUAGUCGAUUUUAACUCAGGUCCUCUGGAGAAGCGGGGGAUACUCGUAGGCGUGGGGGAUGGGAAAGAAUAAUGCGGGGAACGCGUCGGCGAUAUUUUACGUAAAUUUAGGAUCCUGGUCGGUUUACAUAAACAUGAUACGUAUCCGAAUCGGUCGCAACAGAAAUAAUGGAAAAUGCAAUGAUCGCCUGUAAAUAAAUCCUAAGCAGUUUUGCUAUAGCGAAGGAGCGCUUCUCAGCGUCAAUCUAUCAGUUUGAGUUGAGAGAACAAAAGCGAUUUCGCUUAAGAAGAAAAAAAAAUAUGCGACUUGCAUGAACAACUCAAAAUAAAUUACGAGUAUCCGGUUCGGAGGAUAAGGUGUUUGUGCACGCGCGCGCGCGCGCGUGUGUGUGUGUGUGUGUGUGUGUCAGCUUUUUAAAUAACUAAUUAAGUUUUAAUUUAGUUUUACCUUUUCUUUUCUCAUGGUUGAUAAUGAAAGAAUUGUGAGGAUAUUCUUGCGGAACGAGCCAGGAGUGCAAAUGAUUUCUUUGAACAUAUGGCGUAGCGAGCACAUUAGGAUACUAGGUACAUUAGGAUCAAGGGCUUCAGCAAUCACAAUCAUCGCCGCUUCAGGAGUGGCGAUGGUUUCUUCUUCUUCUUUUGUGAUUAAUGGUCCUGGUUCUCGUUGACGAGGUAAACUUGGUUAGUCGUUUCCUAAAUUCCUCCAACCUUCCACAGGAGUCAGUGAGUAUAAUCGGAAUGCAAUGCACCACUUCGAACCGGGCAGAAGUAACAAAAAAAGGGAUGAUACAUUCAAAAUGAAAAUGGAAGGCGCUCCUCAUAAACACUGGGCGCUGCGACUACGACGCUUCGGCGCCGCACGGAUGCAUGUUCAGACGAAUAAAGGAACUAUCGAUGAUGUAAUGUACAGUUGAAGCCAGCCACGAUUUUCAAAAAAUAUGAUUGAGGUGAUGCAACACCUGAAGCGAGGCGAAACACGUCCGAUCCGCUUGAAUGCCCGCGCAAGAUUUGCGAGGAUUUGGCGAAGAAGUAUAUAGGAAACCUCGUUAAUAUGUAGGACGAACAGGAUCUCGGUCUGGCGCGACUGUUCGGUCUCCGAAUGAACAAGAUCCAGAACAGGAAUUAGAAUUUAGACUGCGCGUGGGUUGGUGAGAUAAGAGACGAGAAUCAAGCUAAAAAUCACAAAAAAAUUUUAACACUAUAUUAUUGUUACGUGAUAUAAUUUUAUACUUUCGCGCUACUCUGCUGCGAUGGUGUUACCAAGCCUUGAUCUACAUUAUCCUAGUUUUAAUGUAUUACUAACGACGAGCGAAACGACGAAUGUUUUUAUAUUGUCAAAGUAUACGAAAUUAUACGAGACAUUUUUCGAAUCUUCAGUUUUAAAUAUUGUUCUUCUUUUAUUUUGUAUCACAGAUGCGAAAUUGUAAUUCUCGAUAUGCAAGAAUCUUUCCCGUUUAUACAUAAUAAAAAGACACAUUCGUAUUCAUUUUCGUAUUUUCGCGCAUUAUUUUUAGAAAAUUAUUAUCGAAAAUUGUUAUAGAAAAAUGCCAAUAAAAUGUUUUUUUCCAUACAUCUUUAUUUCGAACAAUUACAAAUAGAUUGUCGAAUUGUUUUUUAGAACAUAAAAUUCAUCUUGCAUUUCAAGAUAAUUUGCAUCUCAAAAUAAUUUGAACAAAUUUGUAGCUUAAAUAAUUAAAUAUGCAACGUAAAUACACAGAAGCAAGUGUAAUAAUGUCGAUGCAACUGUGAAUCAAAGGAAAAUUCAAAUUAUGAAUAUGUUGGAUUUUUGUUGCAUUAAAGAGAUGCGUUGUAACUUAAGCAGUUUUGAGUGCAUACUUGAUGCGCCAAAUCAUCACUGCAUUGAACGGAACACAGUAAGAUAAGACAAAGAAGUUUUUACAACCUUUAAAAAAUAAAAGAUUUUUCUUGAUAAAUUACGCUUAUGACAAUAAAAAUUAAAAACACA